This 373-nucleotide ribosomal RNA is filed under the name uncultured bacterium. RNAcentral's name for it is "bacterial SSU rRNA". It matches the Rfam family "Bacterial small subunit ribosomal RNA", at positions 527 to 898 of the family's 1533-position model. The record is from RNAcentral.
GUAGGGGCCGAGCGUUGUCCGGAGUUAUUGGGCGUAAAGCGCGCGCAGGCGGCGGUGUCAGCCCGACGUGAAAGCCCCCGGCUUAACCGGGGAGGGUCGUGGGGGACGGCACCGCUUGAGGGCGGCAGAGGGCGGUGGAAUUCCCGGUGUAGUGGUGAAAUGCGUAGAGAUCGGGAGGAACACCUGUGGCGAAGGCGGCCGUCUGGGCCGACCCUGACGCUGAGGCGCGAAGGCGUGGGGAGCGAACGGGAUUAGAUACCCCGGUAGUCCACGCAGUAAACGAUGCCGACUAGGCGUGGGGGGACUUGACCCCCUCCGUGCCGGAGCCAACGCGGGAAGUCGGCCGCCUGGGGAGUACGGCCGCAAGGCUAAA